GAUGAACGCUGGCGGCGUGCCUAAUACAUGCGAGUCGAGCGAACGGACGAGAAGCUUGCUUUUCUGAUGUUAGCGGCGGACGGGUGAGUAACACGUGGAUAACCUACCUAUAAGACUGGGAUAACUUCGGGAAACCGGAGCUAAUACCGGAUAAUAUUUUGAACCGCAUGGUUCAAAAGUGAAAGACGGUCUUGCUGUCACUUAUAGAUGGAUCCGCGCUGCAUUAGCUAGUUGGUAAGGUAACGGCUUACCAAGGCAACGAUGCAUAGCCGACCUGAGAGGGUGAUGGCCCACACUGGGUCUGAUACCGGGUCGAGACCCCACGGGGAGGCGGGAGAGGGAAGUCUUCCGAAUGGGCGGAAGGCCGGAGGGGGCACGGCCGGGUGAGUAAGAAGUGUCUUGGAAUCUAAAACUUUUUUUAUGGGGGAAAAACAGUUGUGAAAGUACCGGGGAACUUCUUAAGGUACCUAAAUAGGAAGACCCGGGCAAACACCGCC
RNAcentral lists this ribosomal RNA (497 nucleotides) under uncultured bacterium. RNAcentral describes it as "partial 16S ribosomal RNA". It matches the Rfam family "Bacterial small subunit ribosomal RNA", at positions 28 to 509 of the family's 1533-position model. The record is from RNAcentral.